Long non-coding RNA from Carassius auratus (goldfish), 306 nucleotides. RefSeq lists it as uncharacterized. The record is from RefSeq and is a predicted model, not a curated record. NCBI's taxonomy places the organism in Eukaryota, Metazoa, Chordata, Actinopteri, Cypriniformes, Cyprinidae. The transcript has 3 exons.
CCCGGAUGUCCUACUGCUUCAGUCAAGAUUCUGAAGGGUUCGUUGAUGGAUACUUUUCAAUCCCAGAAUACCACGCGGAAAGCAUAAAUCGUCAUCGAACGUGAAGGAGAGCAGCGUAGAGGGUGUUUACAAAGGUGACAGCAGCAUCUGUGGAAAAAAACCUGAAAGCAAAAUAUAAAAGGAUCUGAAAUGUCUGCAGAGUGCUGUGUUUACUGAGGAUGGAGAAGAUGGAGUGCCAUGGGUGAAAUACUCCAUCACUGCAUCUCCUCUUGUUUUCUCAUCAGGACCAGAUGCUGCUGUGGUCUC